UGGGGAAUAUUGCACAAUGGGGGAAACCCUGAUGCAGCGACCCCCCGUGGAGGAAGAAGGUCUUCGGAUUGUAAACUCCUGUUGUUGAGGAAGAUAAUGACGGUACUCAACAAGGAAGUGACGGCUAACUACGUGCCAGCAGCCGCGGUAAAACGUAGGUCACAAGCGUUGUCCGGAAUUACUGGGUGUAAAGGGAGCGCAGGCGGGAGAACAAGUUGGAAGUGAAAUCCAUGGGCUCAACCCAUGAACUGCUUUCAAAACUGUUUUUCUUGAGUAGUGCAGAGGUAGGCGGAAUUCCCGGUGUAGCGGUGGAAUGCGUAGAUAUCGGGAGGAACACCAGUGGCGAAGGCGGCCUACUGGGCACCAACUGACGCUGAGGCUCGAAAGUGUGGGUAGCAAACAGGAUUAGAUACCCUGGUAGUCCACACCGUAAACGAUGAUUACUAGGUGUUGGAGGAUUGACCCCUUCAGUGCCGCAGUUAACACAAUAAGUAAUCCACCUGGGGAGUACGACCGCAAGGUUGAAACUCAAAGGAAUUGACGGGGGCCCGCACAAGCAGUGGAGUAUGUGGUUUAAUUCGACGCAACGCGAAGAACCUUACCAAGUCUUGACAUCCCUUGACGAUGCUGGAAACAGUAUUUCUCUUCGGAGCAAGGAGACAGGUGGUGCAUGGUUGUCGUCAGCUCGUGUCGUGAGAUGUUGGGUUAAGUCCCGCAACGAGCGCAACCCUUAUGGUCAGUUACUACGCAAGAGGACUCUGGCCAGACUGCCGUUGACAAAACGGAGGAAGGUGGGGAUGACGUCAAAUCAUCAUGCCCUUUAUGACUUGGGCUACACACGUACUACAAUGGCGUUAAACAAAGAGAAGCAAGACCGCGAGGUGGAGCAAAACUCAGAAACAACGUCCCAGUUCGGACUGCAGGCUGCAACUCGCCUGCACGAAGUCGGAAUUGCUAGUAAUCGUGGAUCAGCAUGCCACGGUGAAUACGUUCCC
Molecule: ribosomal RNA, 995 nt
Filed under: uncultured bacterium
Lineage: Bacteria
Description: bacterial SSU rRNA
Rfam family: Bacterial small subunit ribosomal RNA
Source: RNAcentral